UACGUAGGGUGCAAGCGUUAAUCGGAAUUACUGGGCGUAAAGCGUGCGCAGGCGGUGAUGUAAGACAGGUGUGAAAUCCCCGGGCUCAACCUGGGAAUUGCGUUGGAGACUGCAAGGCUGGAGUCUGGCAGAGGGGGGUAGAAUUCCACGUGUAGCAGUGAAAUGCGUAGAGAUGUGGAGGAACACCGAUGGCGAAGGCAGCCCCCUGGGUCAAGACUGACGCUCAUGCACGAAAGCGUGGGGAGCAAACAGG
This 253-nucleotide ribosomal RNA is filed under the name uncultured bacterium. Its description in RNAcentral is "partial 16S ribosomal RNA". It matches the Rfam family "Bacterial small subunit ribosomal RNA", at positions 524 to 776 of the family's 1533-position model. The record is from RNAcentral.